RNAcentral lists this ribosomal RNA (253 nucleotides) under uncultured prokaryote. RNAcentral's name for it is "partial 16S ribosomal RNA". It matches the Rfam family "Bacterial small subunit ribosomal RNA", at positions 524 to 776 of the family's 1533-position model. The record is from RNAcentral.
UACGUAGGGAGCAAGCGUUGUCCGGAAUUACUGGGUGUAAAGGGAGCGUAGGCGGGAUAGCAAGUCAGGUGUGAAAACUAUGGGCUCAACCCAUAGAUUGCACUUGAAACUGCUGUUCUUGAGUGAAGUAGAGGUAAGCGGAAUUCCUAGUGUAGCGGUGAAAUGCGUAGAUAUUAGGAGGAACAUCAGUGGCGAAGGCGGCUUACUGGGCUUUUACUGACGCUGAGGCUCGAAAGCGUGGGGAGCAAACAGG